GACGAACGCUGGCGGCGUGCUUAACACAUGCAAGUCGAACGGAAAGGCCCUGCUUUUGUGGUGUGCUCGAGUGGCGAACGGGUGAGUAACACGUGAGUAACCUGCCCUUGACUUUGGGAUAACUUCAGGAAACUGGGGCUAAUACCGGAUAGGAGCUCCUGCUGCAUGGUGGGGGUGGGAAAGUUUCGGCGGUUGGGGAUGGACUCGCGGCUUAUCAGCUUGUUGGUGGGGUAGUGGCUUACCAAGGCUGUGACGGGUAGCCGGCCUGAGAGGGGGACCGGCCACAUUGGGACUGCGGUACGGAGCAGACUCCUACGGGAGGCAGCAGUGGGGAAUAUUGCACAAUGGGCGGAAGUCUGAGGCAGCAACGCCGCGUGCGUGAUGACGGCCUUCGGGUUGUAAACCGCUUUCGCCUGUGACGAAGCGUGAGUGGCGGUAAUGGGUAAAGAAGCACCGGCUAACUACGUG
This 468-nucleotide ribosomal RNA is filed under the name uncultured bacterium. Its description in RNAcentral is "partial 16S ribosomal RNA". It matches the Rfam family "Bacterial small subunit ribosomal RNA", at positions 28 to 507 of the family's 1533-position model. The record is from RNAcentral.